GUUGACCUCGGAUCAGGUAGGGAUACCCGCUGAACUUAAGCAUAUCAAUAAGCGGAGGAAAAGAAACCAACAGGGAUUGCCCUAGUAACGGCGAGUGAAGCGGCAACAGCUCAAAUUUGAAAUCUGGCGUCUUCGGCGUCCGAGUUGUAAUUUGUAGAGGAUGCUUCUGGGCAGCCACCGGUCUAAGUUCCUUGGAACAGGACGUCAUAGAGGGUGAGAAUCCCGUAUGCGACCGGAAAGGCACCCUCCACGUAGCUCCUUCGACGAGUCGAGUUGUUUGGGAAUGCAGCUCUAAAUGGGAGGUAAAUUUCUUCUAAAGCUAAAUACUGGCCAGAGACCGAUAGCGCACAAGUAGAGUGAUCGAAAGAUGAAAAGCACUUUGGAAAGAGAGUUAAAAAGCACGUGAAAUUGUUGAAAGGGAAGCGUUUGCAACCAGACUUGCUCGCGGUGUUCCGCCGGUCUUCUGACCGGUUCACUCGCCGCGUUGCAGGCCAGCAUCGUCUGGGGCCGCCGGACAAGACCUUGGUAAUGUAGCUCCCCCUCGGGGGAGUGUUAUAGACCAUGUUGAUGCGGCGCGUCCCGGGCGAGGUCCGCGCUUCGGCUAGGAUGCUGGCGUAAUGGUUGUAAACGGCCCGUCUUGAAACACGGACCAAGGAGUCUAACAUCUAUGCGAGUGUUCGGGUGUCAAACCCCUACGCGUAAUGAAAGUGAACGGAGGUGGGAACUUUAUUGUGCACCAUCGACCGAUCCUGAUGUCUUCGGAUGGAUUUGAGUAAGAGCAUAGCUGUUGGGACCCGAAAGAUGGUGAACUAUGCCUGAAUAGGGUGAAGCCAGAGGAAACUCUGGUGGAGGCUCGCAGCGGUUCUGACGUGCAAAUCGAUCGUCAAAUUUGGGUAUAGGGGCGAAAGACUAAUCGAACCAUCUAGUAGCUGGUUCCUGCCGAAG
This 945-nucleotide ribosomal RNA is filed under the name Rachicladosporium pini. Its description in RNAcentral is "eukaryotic LSU rRNA". It matches the Rfam family "Eukaryotic large subunit ribosomal RNA", at positions 1 to 966 of the family's 3401-position model. The record is from RNAcentral. Lineage: Eukaryota; Fungi; Ascomycota; Dothideomycetes; Cladosporiales; Cladosporiaceae.